AAUCAACGCUGGCGGCGUGCCUCAGACAUGCAAGUCGAACGAUUAAAGCUCUCUUCGGAGAGUGUAUAGAGUGGCGCACGGGUGAGUAACGCGUAAGUAAUCUACCCUCGAGUGGGGAAUAACAACCGGAAACGGUUGCUAAUACCGCAUAAUGCAGCGGCACCGCAAGGUGACAGUUGUUAAAGAUUUAUCGCUUGAGGAGGAGCUUGCGGCAGAUUAGCUAGUUGGUAGGGUAACGGCUUACCAAGGCUACGAUCUGUAACCGGUCUAAGAGGACGGUCGGUCACACUGACACUGAAUAACGGGUCAGACUCCUACGGGAGGCAGCAGUCGGGAAUUUUGGGCAAUGGGCGAAAGCCUGACCCAGCAACGCCGCGUGAAGGAUGAAGUAUUUCGGUAUGUAAACUUCGAAAGAAUAGGAAGAAUUAAUGACGGUACUAUUUAUAAGGUCCGGCUAACUACGUG
This 465-nucleotide ribosomal RNA is filed under the name uncultured bacterium. RNAcentral describes it as "bacterial SSU rRNA". It matches the Rfam family "Bacterial small subunit ribosomal RNA", at positions 32 to 507 of the family's 1533-position model. The record is from RNAcentral.